CGGGGGCGGCGCGCCCGGCGUGGUGCGGGCGGCGGGCGUCCUCGGGAGGCGGCGGCGGGCGGCGCGGAGCAGCCCCCACCCGCCCGGGGAGGGAGCGGGCACUCGGCGGCACGCGGCCUCGCGCCUCGCCUCCCACACCCCCGCACACAAAGACGCCACUCGGCACCGGGAGCAGGGGCCCGCAGCGGGAGCGGGGGCGCACGGGGCGCCGGCCCCGGGGACGACGCCGCCGCCGCAGGGACGCGCGCCCGCAGCCUCCGGCUACCCUAAACCGCAUAGCCCGGCCCUCAGCCCGAGCGGCCGGCGAGGGAUGAGCGGAUGCGGGAGAGAGAGGAGGGGACCCGGGUGCCCGGAGCUGGGCGAGUUACAGCUCGGCCCCGCAGCAUCAUGGGGCUUGUAGUCCGCCUGGUGGAACCGAGCUUUUCGGAUGACCAGAGACGGUCUGGAACUGAUUUCCUGAAAGGGAGGACAGAGAGUCGGGCCCGGCCGAAACGGAGGCCUUACUUGGAUGUCAGUCUUUUGCUCUCUCAGAAAAUUAAACCCAUCUUCCAGACAUCGCAUUGGGAAGAGAAUGUCUAACGGGGCGAAGAAGACCGUCCUUCCCCUCCAUUGCUCAGCAAGAAUCGGGAUGAGGCUGAGCAAAGACAGCAGCAGGUGGCAGCCUCCCACCUCCACCCCAUGGGGGUCCCUGCCUAAGGGAAAUGACUGGGUCCAGAUGGCCUCCUUCCUGAAUGACCAGAGCAGACGAGCCCUUCCACAAGGAUCCCUUGCAGACGGUGGUGAGAGUGCAAAUGGCCUCUGUGGCAGCCAACUGCAACUGUUAAAAGAACCCAGACACCCUGGAAGAGAAAUGGAUCGUGAUGUCCACAGAGCUGUGUUUAAAUACCGCAUCGACUGCUUGAUCGUAAGCAAAUGGCUUACACUUCUGAGUUUCUCGGGCCACUCGCCUCUUGGAUGGGAUUGGAUACUAUCUCCUGGGGUGAGCUAAGGAUAGCAACUGCCUGAAAACGGCGUCUCUCGCUCCUCCAGCCCGGCUGAGACAGGUGGUAGGAAUGCACAGGUUGCCUUCCUUGAGCCCACCUUAAACCAAGGCAGAAAUAAGGGAUUCCUCGUCACCCCGGACUCAGAACAAUAAUCUAAAGAGUGUUCGUGUGGGAGGUGCCAGCAAAAGCUUGCAAACUCCUUGUGCCUCUCUGGGGUUUCUUUGUGUGGUCUUCUCCCCUGCCUCCUGCACACCCAGCGUUGCCAGGCCCGGGAGGGCUGAGGGAGGAGCAGGCUGCCUCACCCCUUUCUGCAGCCUGGGAGGAGCCGGCAGGCAGGCGUCUCCACAGCCCAGGUCCGCAGCCCGUCUCCACCACUAGGGGUCAGCAGAGCGUCGUGAUUGCAGCCUGAGUUGAGGAGGGGGCUGGAGUCGCCAGGAGGGGACGUCUAGGAGAGCCUCCAGGACGCUUGUACAGUGGUUCCUCAUUAAAUCGUUUUCAGAACCUUG
RNA transcript from Peromyscus leucopus (white-footed mouse), 1489 nucleotides. RefSeq lists it as uncharacterized. Lineage: Eukaryota; Metazoa; Chordata; Mammalia; Rodentia; Cricetidae. The transcript is spliced from 2 exons. The record is from RefSeq and is a predicted model, not a curated record.